RNAcentral lists this long non-coding RNA (549 nucleotides) under Helianthus annuus (common sunflower). RNAcentral's name for it is "sRNA HanXRQr2_Chr04g0187981". The record is from RNAcentral. Lineage: Eukaryota; Viridiplantae; Streptophyta; Magnoliopsida; Asterales; Asteraceae.
AUGUCACAACGGGGUGUUUGGCAGCUUCAGAAGCUGGUAGUCAGCUACUGUAACUGCGGUGGAAGUAGUAGGGGUAUCAGUAAAAAACCAUGAUGUCUUAGUUGAAGGGUGUAAUAUGGAGUCCAGAUGAUUCAUUGUUUGGUAUCUGGAGUUGAUUACGAGGCUCCUUAGGCUCUGCAUUGGACGAGGGAGAUGAAGUUGCUAAAUGGCUCACUUACUUCCGAAGGGAAACCAAGCCACUUAGUAAGCUUUAAUGAAGGUACAAUUCACCACAUAUUAUUAUAGGCUUCAAGCUGAUCUUUUACUUUAAUCAAGCUAUGAGGAUGGUAUUUGCUUACUGAUUAUUACAUGAUCCCUUAUUGGCUUAAGCACACAUAAAUCUACACCUCACUUUGUUUGUGUGCGAAGUAUAAAGCAAGAAAGGUAGCCAAGAAUGAACAACAAUAAGAAAGACUUUUGUAAGGUCAAGGCGUACAUAAAGCAACUCAACAUUUUUAACCACAACAAUAGAUAGGGGUUGUGAAUGUAUGUUUAUUGCGUGUAGUUAUC